CGACAUGAUUCUGUGUUAUUGUAGUAUUUUACUGGACACACCAGAGCAGAGAGCUAGUCCCUGUGUAAGAUAUGCAGCUGCACUGGCUAAAAUAGUGGAGAAAGUGGGUCAUAUCGUCAUGCACCACCCACUCCAAAUUCUCACUUCCCAUAGUACUGUAGCCUACGUUACAUCAGCGUGUUUCACUCUCACUCCAUUGCGACAAACCAAGAUCUU
Molecule: long non-coding RNA, 216 nt
Organism: Sebastes umbrosus (honeycomb rockfish)
Lineage: Eukaryota; Metazoa; Chordata; Actinopteri; Perciformes; Sebastidae
Exons: 3
Source: RefSeq, a predicted model, not a curated record